This 669-nucleotide ribosomal RNA is filed under the name uncultured bacterium. Its description in RNAcentral is "bacterial SSU rRNA". It matches the Rfam family "Bacterial small subunit ribosomal RNA", at positions 8 to 694 of the family's 1533-position model. The record is from RNAcentral.
AGAGUUUGAUCCUGGCUCAGGACGAACGCUGGCGGCGUGCUUAACACGUGCAAGUCGAACGGAAAGGCCCUUCGGGGUACUCGAGUGGCGAACGGGUGAGUAACACGUGGGUGAUCUGCCCUGCACUUUGGGAUAAGCCUGGGAAACUGGGUCUAAUACCGAAUAUGACCAUGCACUUCCUGGUGUGUGGUGGAAAGCUUUUGCGGUGUGGGAUGGGCCCGCGGCCUAUCAGCUUGUUGGUGGGGUAAUGGCCUACCAAGGCGACGACGGGUAGCCGGCCUGAGAGGGUGACCGGCCACACUGGGACUGAGAUACGGCCCAGACUCCUACGGGAGGCAGCAGUGGGGAAUAUUGCACAAUGGGCGCAAGCCUGAUGCAGCGACGCCGCGUGAGGGAUGACGGCCUUCGGGUUGUAAACCUCUUUCAGCACAGACGAAGCGCAAGUGACGGUAUGUGCAGAAGAAGGACCGGCCAACUACGUGCCAGCAGCCGCGGUAAUACGUAGGGUCCGAGCGUUGUCCGGAAUUACUGGGCGUAAAGAGCUCGUAGGUGGUUUGUCGCGUUGUUCGUGAAAACUCACAGCUUAACUGUGGGCGUGCGGGCGAUACGGGCAGACUUGAGUACUGCAGGGGAGACUGGAAUUCCUGGUGUAGCGGUGAAAUGCGUAGA